UGCACAGUAAGUGGAACACAGGGCCUCCGGU
This 31-nucleotide non-coding RNA is filed under the name Mus musculus (house mouse). Lineage: Eukaryota; Metazoa; Chordata; Mammalia; Rodentia; Muridae. The record is from RNAcentral.